This 253-nucleotide ribosomal RNA is filed under the name uncultured bacterium. Its description in RNAcentral is "partial 16S ribosomal RNA". It matches the Rfam family "Bacterial small subunit ribosomal RNA", at positions 524 to 776 of the family's 1533-position model. The record is from RNAcentral.
UACGUAGGGUGCAAGCGUUAUCCGGAUUUAUUGGGCGUAAAGGGCUCGUAGGCGGACUUUUAAGUGAGAUGUGAAAUACUCGGGCUCAACUUGAGUGCUGCAUUUCAAACUGGAAGUCUAGAGUGCAGGAGAGGAGAAUGGAAUUCCUAGUGUAGCGGUGAAAUGCGUAGAGAUUAGGAAGAGCACCAGUGGCGAAGGCGAUUCUCUGGACUGUAACUGACGCUGAGGCUCGAAAGCGUGGGGAGCAAACAGG